RNAcentral lists this ribosomal RNA (406 nucleotides) under uncultured bacterium. Its description in RNAcentral is "partial 16S ribosomal RNA". It matches the Rfam family "Bacterial small subunit ribosomal RNA", at positions 30 to 526 of the family's 1533-position model. The record is from RNAcentral.
AUUGAACGCCGGCGGCAGGCCUAACACAUCCAAGUCGAGCGAGCGGCGGACGGUUGAGUAAUGUCUGGGAAACUGCCUGAUGGAGGGGGAUAACUACUGGCAACGGUAGCUAAUACCGCAUACUUUCCGAUGUGCCUACAUGGGCUUAGCUAGUAGGCGGGGUAACGGCUCACCUCGGCCACGAUCCCUAGCUGGUCUGCGAGGAUGACCAGCAACACUGGAACGGAGAAACGGUCGAUAGGCCUACGCGAGGGGGCCAUGGGGAAUAUGGCACAAUGGGCGCAAGCCUGAUACAGCCAUGCCGCGUGUGUGAAGCAGGACUUCGGGUUGUAGAGCACUUUCAGCGGGGAGGGGUUACCCGCAGAAGAAGCACAGGCUGACUCCGUGCCAGCCGCCGCGGUAAUUC